AUAGAUCAACUUACCCUAUUGAGAAAGAUAACCUCGGGAAACUGAGGAUAAUAUUUCAUAGUUGAAUUGGCUUGGAAAAGUUUUUCAACAAAAGGGAUAGGGAAAAUGGUCUCUAUCCGCUAUAGGAUAGGAUCGUGUUCGAUUAUGGUAGUUGGUGAGGUAACGGCUCACCAAGCCGAUAAUCGAUAGGGGCCGUGAGAGCGGGAGCCCCGAGAUGGGUACUGAGACAACGACCCAGGCCUUACGAGGCGCAGCAGGUACGAAACCUCCACAAUACACGAAAGUGUGAUGGGGUUACCCAAAGUGUUCAUUAUUGAACUGUGGCAGGAGAGUAAUGUCCCCUACUAGAAAGGAGAGGGCAAGGCUGGUGCCAGCCGCCGCGGUAAAACCAGCUCUUCAAGUGGUCGGGAUAAUUAUCGGGCUUAAAGUGUCCGUAGCCGGUUUGGUAAGUUCCUGGUAAAAUCGGAUAGCUUAACUAUCUGUAUGCUAGGAAUACUGCUAUACUAGAGGGCGGGAGAGGUCUGAGGUACUACAGGGGUAGGGGUGAAAUCUUAUAAUCCUUGCAGGACCACCAGUGGCGAAGGCGUCAGACUGGAACGCGCCUGACGGUGAGGGACGAAAGCCAGGGGAGCGAACCGGAUUAGAUACCCGGGUAGUCCUGGCCGUAAACGAUGCAUACUAGGUGAUGGUACAGCUAUGAGCCAUAUCAGUGCCGUAGGGAAACCGUUAAGUGUGCCGCCUGGGAAGUACGGUCGCAAGGCUAAAACUUAAAGGAAUUGGCGGAGGAGCACCACAAGGGGUGAAGCCUGCGGUUCAAUUGGAGUCAACGCCGGA
RNAcentral lists this ribosomal RNA (834 nucleotides) under uncultured archaeon. RNAcentral describes it as "bacterial SSU rRNA". It matches the Rfam family "Archaeal small subunit ribosomal RNA", at positions 100 to 922 of the family's 1478-position model. The record is from RNAcentral.